CGUCUAUAUACGUAUAGCAUAUCAAUAAGCGGAGGAAAAGAAACUAACAAGGAUUCCCUUAGUAACGGCGAGUGAAGCGGGAAGAGCUCAAAUUUGAAAUCUUCAAGGUUUUCCCUUGACGAAUUGUAGUUUAAAGAAGUGUUUUCUGUUAGAGAGUUUGGUAAAAGUUCUUUGGAAUAGGACAUCAUAGAGGGUGAGAAUCCCGUAUUUGAUCACUUCUACUAGCUUUGUGAUACACUUUCAAAGAGUCGGAUUGUUUGGGAAUGCAGUCCAAAAUGGGUGGUAAAUUUCAUCUAAAGCUAAAUAUUGGCGAGAGACCGAUAGCGAACAAGUACCGUGAGGGAAAGAUGAAAAGAACUUUGAAAAGAGAGUUAAACAGUACGUGAAAUUGUCAAAAGGGAAGCGUUUGACACCAGUGUUGUUUUCUCGAAAAUCAAUUAAAAAUGACCGGAUUUUGUGUUGUAUUGACUUUAUCAGCUUUCUGCACUUUUUUCUUGUCUUUUUUAAUGCACUUUUCGUUUAACAAGUCAACAUCAAUUUCUUUUGUUGUAAAAGGGCCAUUGGAAGGUGGCUUUCAUUUCGGUGAAAGUGUUUAUAGCCUUUGACUUCUGCAAUCGGAGAGAUUGAGGUCUGCAGCGUAGAUCCUUCGGGGUUAGAUACAUUUGUGCUAAGUUAUAGUUUUUCAUAGACAACAUGUUGACUAUGAUUAAUCACGUAGCUUACUCGCUUAUGCUAUUUUACCUACGCUUAGGAUGUUGACACACGCGCGUGCUCG
Molecule: ribosomal RNA, 775 nt
Filed under: uncultured Neocallimastigales
Lineage: Eukaryota; Fungi; Neocallimastigomycota; Neocallimastigomycetes; Neocallimastigales
Description: partial large subunit ribosomal RNA
Rfam family: Eukaryotic large subunit ribosomal RNA
Source: RNAcentral